UACGUAGGGUGCAAGCGUUGUCCGGAAUUAUUGGGCGUAAAGAGCUCGUAGGCGGUCUGUCGCGUCUGCUGUGAAAACUCAGGGCUUAACCCUGAGCUUGCAGUGGGUACGGGCAGACUAGAGUGCGGUAGGGGAGGCUGGAAUUCCUGGUGUAGCGGUGAAAUGCGCAGAUAUCAGGAGGAACACCGGUGGCGAAGGCGGGUCUCUGGGCAUUAACUGACGCUGAGGAGCGAAAGCAUGGGGAGCGAACAGG
Molecule: ribosomal RNA, 253 nt
Filed under: uncultured bacterium
Lineage: Bacteria
Description: partial 16S ribosomal RNA
Rfam family: Bacterial small subunit ribosomal RNA
Source: RNAcentral